CAAGUCGAACGGUAACAGGAAGCAGCUUGCUUGCUUCGCUGACGAGUGGCGGACGGGUGAGUAAUGUCUGGGAAACUGCCUGAUGGAGGGGGAUAACUACUGGAAACGGUAGCUAAUACCGCAUAACGUCGCAAGACCAAAGAGGGGGACCUUCGGGCCUCUUGCCAUCGGAUGUGCCCAGAUGGGAUUAGCUAGUAGGUGGGGUAACGGCUCACCUAGGCGACGAUCCCUAGCUGGUCUGAGAGGAUGACCAGCCACACUGGAACUGAGACACGGUCCAGACUCCUACGGGAGGCAGCAGUGGGGAAUAUUGCACAAUGGGCGCAAGCCUGAUGCAGCCAUGCCGCGUGUAUGAAGAAGGCCUUCGGGUUGUAAAGUACUUUCAGCGGGGAGGAAGGGAGUAAAGUUAAUACCUUUGCUCAUUGACGUUACCCGCAGAAGAAGCACCGGCUAACUCCGUGCCAGCAGCCGCCGGUAAUACGGAGGGUGCAAGCGUUAAUCGGAAUUACUGGGCGUAAAGCGCACGCAGGCGGUUUGUUAAGUCAGAUGUGAAAUCCCCGGGCUCAACCUGGGAACUGCAUCUGAUACUGGCAAGCUUGAGUCUCGUAGAGGGGGGUAGAAUUCCAGGUGUAGCGGUGAAAUGCGUAGAGAUCUGGAGGAAUACCGGUGGCGAAGGCGGCCCCCUGGACGAAGACUGACGCUCAGGUGCGAAAGCGUGGGGAGCAAACAGGAUUAGAUACCCUGGUAGUCCACGCCGUAAACGAUGUCGACUUGGAGGUUGUGCCCUUGAGGCGUGGCUUCCGGAGCUAACGCGUUAAGUCGACCGCCUGGGGAGUACGGCCGCAAGGUUAAAACUCAAAUGAAUUGACGGGGGCCCGCACAAGCGGUGGAGCAUGUGGUUUAAUUCGAUGCAACGCGAAGAACCUUACCUGGUCUUGACAUCCACRGAASUUUUCAGAGAUGAGAAUGUGCCUUCGGGAACYGUGAGACAGGUGCUGCAUGGCUGUCGUCAGCUCGUGUUGUGAAAUGUUGGGUUAAGUCCCGCAACGAGCGCAACCCUUAUCCUUUGUUGCCAGCGGUCCGGCCGGGAACUCAAAGGAGACUGCCAGUGAUAAACUGGAGGAAGGUGGGGAUGACGUCAAGUCAUCAUGGCCCUUACGACCAGGGCUACACACGUGCUACAAUGGCGCAUACAAAGAGAAGCGACCUCGCGAGAGCAAGCGGACCUCAUAAAGUGCGUCGUAGUCCGGAUUGGAGUCUGCAACUCGACUCCAUGAAGUCGGAAUCGCUAGUAAUCGUGGAUCAGAAUGCCACGGUGAAUACGUUCCCGGGCCUUGUACACACCGCCCGUCACACCAUGGGAGUGGGUUGCAAAAGAAGUAGGUAGCUUAACC
RNAcentral lists this ribosomal RNA (1394 nucleotides) under Shigella flexneri. Its description in RNAcentral is "bacterial SSU rRNA". It matches the Rfam family "Bacterial small subunit ribosomal RNA". The record is from RNAcentral. Lineage: Bacteria; Pseudomonadati; Pseudomonadota; Gammaproteobacteria; Enterobacterales; Enterobacteriaceae.